UACGUAGGGGGCAAGCGUUGUCCGGAUUUAUUGGGCGUAAAGAGCGUGUAGGCGGCCAGAUAGGUCUGCUGUGAAAACUCGAGGCUCAACCUCGAGAUGUCGGCAGAAACCAUUUGGCUAGAGUCCGGAAGAGGAGAGCGGAAUUCCUGGUGUAGCGGUGAAAUGCGCAGAUAUCAGGAAGAACACCCGUGGCGAAGGCGGCUCUCUGGGACGGUACUGACGCUGAGACGCGAAAGCGUGGGGAGCGAACAGG
Molecule: ribosomal RNA, 253 nt
Filed under: uncultured bacterium
Lineage: Bacteria
Description: partial 16S ribosomal RNA
Rfam family: Bacterial small subunit ribosomal RNA
Source: RNAcentral